GUGGGGAAUAUUGCACAAUGGGCGAAAGCCUGAUGCAGCGACGCCGCGUGAGCGAUGAAGUAUUUCGGUACGUAAAGCUCUAUCAGCAGGGAAGAUAAUGACGGUACCUGACUAAGAAGCACCGGCUAAAUACGUGCCAGCAGCCGCGGUAAUACGUAUGGUGCAAGCGUUAUCCGGAUUUACUGGGUGUAAAGGGAGCGUAGGCGGCGUGGUAAGUCAGAAGUGAAAGCCCGGGGCUCAACCCCGGGACUGCUUUUGAAACUAUCAUGCUAGAGUGUCGGAGAGGUAAGUGGAAUUCCUAGUGUAGCGGUGAAAUGCGUAGAUAUUAGGAGGAACACCAGUGGCGAAGGCGGCUUACUGGACGAUAACUGACGCUGAGGCUCGAAAGCGUGGGGAGCAAACAGGAUUAGAUACCCUAGUAGUCC
This 425-nucleotide ribosomal RNA is filed under the name uncultured bacterium. RNAcentral's name for it is "partial 16S ribosomal RNA". It matches the Rfam family "Bacterial small subunit ribosomal RNA", at positions 354 to 796 of the family's 1533-position model. The record is from RNAcentral.